Molecule: unclassified non-coding RNA, 330 nt
Filed under: soil metagenome
Description: partial contains 5.8S ribosomal RNA, internal transcribed spacer 2, and large subunit ribosomal RNA
Rfam family: 5.8S ribosomal RNA (bases 1-120)
Source: RNAcentral
GAUGAAGAACGCAGUGAAAUGCGAUAAGUAGUGUGAAUUGCAGAAUUUAGUGAAUCAUCGAAUCUUUGAACGCACAUUGCGCCCUUUGGUAUUCCUUAGGGCAUGCCUGUUCGAGCGUCAUUUAACCCUUCAAGCUCUGCUUGGUGUUGGGCGUUUGUCCCGUCUCGUGCGCGGACUCGCCUUAAAAUCAUUGGCGGCCUUUGGAUUCGGCUCGAGCGCAGCACAUCGCGUCUCGGCCCGGCCCGCUGGCGUCCAGCAAGCGCAACUUUAUUUUGACCUCGGAUCAGGUAGGGAUACCCGCUGAACUUAAGCAUAUCAAUAAGCGGAGGA